RNAcentral lists this ribosomal RNA (131 nucleotides) under Clostridium beijerinckii. RNAcentral describes it as "partial 23S ribosomal RNA". It matches the Rfam family "Bacterial large subunit ribosomal RNA", at positions 2798 to 2925 of the family's 2925-position model. Lineage: Bacteria; Bacillati; Bacillota; Clostridia; Eubacteriales; Clostridiaceae. The record is from RNAcentral.
CUCAAGAUGAGAUUUCCCAUAGCAUAAGCUAGUAAGACCCCUUGAAGAACACAAGGUUGAUAGGUCAGAGGUGUAAGUGUGGUAACAUAUUUAGCUGACUGAUACUAAUAGGUCGAGGGCUUGACCAAUAA